GUCUUACACUUGAUCUCUGAACCUCAGGUAAGUUCAUGUGGAAAGUAUUAAUCACUGAUGCA
Molecule: small nucleolar RNA, 62 nt
Filed under: Dichanthelium oligosanthes
Lineage: Eukaryota; Viridiplantae; Streptophyta; Magnoliopsida; Poales; Poaceae
Description: Small nucleolar RNA snoR101
Rfam family: Small nucleolar RNA snoR101
Source: Rfam by way of RNAcentral